RNAcentral lists this ribosomal RNA (2902 nucleotides) under Enterobacter kobei. RNAcentral describes it as "23S ribosomal RNA". It matches the Rfam family "Bacterial large subunit ribosomal RNA". The record is from RNAcentral. Lineage: Bacteria; Pseudomonadati; Pseudomonadota; Gammaproteobacteria; Enterobacterales; Enterobacteriaceae.
UUAAGCGACUAAGCGUACACGGUGGAUGCCCUGGCAGUCAGAGGCGAUGAAGGACGUGCUAAUCUGCGAAAAGCGCCGGCGAGGUGAUAUGAACCUUUGACCCGGCGAUGUCCGAAUGGGGAAACCCAGUGUGUUCCGACACACUAUCGUUAACUGAAUACAUAGGUUAACGAGGCGAACCGGGGGAACUGAAACAUCUAAGUACCCCGAGGAAAAGAAAUCAACCGAGAUUCCCCCAGUAGCGGCGAGCGAACGGGGAGCAGCCCGGAGUCUGAAUCAGCUUGUGUGUUAGUGGAACGGUCUGGAAAGUCCGACGGUACAGGGUGAUAGUCCCGUACACGAAAGCACACAGGUUGUGAACUCGAAGAGUAGGGCGGGACACGUGGUAUCCUGUCUGAAUAUGGGGGGACCAUCCUCCAAGGCUAAAUACUCCUGACUGACCGAUAGUGAACCAGUACCGUGAGGGAAAGGCGAAAAGAACCCCGGCGAGGGGAGUGAAAAAGAACCUGAAACCGUGUACGUACAAGCAGUGGGAGCCUACUUGUUAGGUGACUGCGUACCUUUUGUAUAAUGGGUCAGCGACUUAUAUUCUGUAGCAAGGUUAACCGUAUAGGGGAGCCGAAGGGAAACCGAGUCUUAACUGGGCGUUAAGUUGCAGGGUAUAGACCCGAAACCCGGUGAUCUAGCCAUGGGCAGGUUGAAGGUUGGGUAACACUAACUGGAGGACCGAACCGACUAAUGUUGAAAAAUUAGCGGAUGACCUGUGGCUGGGGGUGAAAGGCCAAUCAAACCGGGAGAUAGCUGGUUCUCCCCGAAAGCUAUUUAGGUAGCGCCUCGUGAACUCAUCUUCGGGGGUAGAGCACUGUUUCGGCUAGGGGGCCAUCCCGGCUUACCAACCCGAUGCAAACUACGAAUACCGAAGAAUGUUAUCACGGGAGACACACGGCGGGUGCUAACGUCCGUCGUGAAGAGGGAAACAACCCAGACCGCCAGCUAAGGUCCCAAAGUCAUGGUUAAGUGGGAAACGAUGUGGGAAGGCACAGACAGCCAGGAUGUUGGCUUAGAAGCAGCCAUCAUUUAAAGAAAGCGUAAUAGCUCACUGGUCGAGUCGGCCUGCGCGGAAGAUGUAACGGGGCUAAACCAUGCACCGAAGCUGCGGCAGCGACGCUUAUGCGUUGUUGGGUAGGGGAGCGUUCUGUAAGCCGUUGAAGGUGGCCUGUGAGGGUUGCUGGAGGUAUCAGAAGUGCGAAUGCUGACAUAAGUAACGAUAAAGCGGGUGAAAAGCCCGCUCGCCGGAAGACCAAGGGUUCCUGUCCAACGUUAAUCGGGGCAGGGUGAGUCGACCCCUAAGGCGAGGCCGAAAGGCGUAGUCGAUGGGAAACAGGUUAAUAUUCCUGUACUUGGUGUUACUGCGAAGGGGGGACGGAGAAGGCUAUGUUAGCCGGGCGACGGUUGUCCCGGUUUAAGCAUGUAGGCGGAGGUUCCAGGUAAAUCCGGUACCUUUUAACGCUGAGGUGUGAUGACGAGGCACUACGGUGCUGAAGUAACAAAUGCCCUGCUUCCAGGAAAAGCCUCUAAGCAUCAGGUAACACGAAAUCGUACCCCAAACCGACACAGGUGGUCAGGUAGAGAAUACCAAGGCGCUUGAGAGAACUCGGGUGAAGGAACUAGGCAAAAUGGUGCCGUAACUUCGGGAGAAGGCACGCUGAUAUGUAGGUGAAGCCCCUGCGGGUGGAGCUGAAAUCAGUCGAAGAUACCAGCUGGCUGCAACUGUUUAUUAAAAACACAGCACUGUGCAAACACGAAAGUGGACGUAUACGGUGUGACGCCUGCCCGGUGCCGGAAGGUUAAUUGAUGGGGUUAGCGGUAACGCGAAGCUCUUGAUCGAAGCCCCGGUAAACGGCGGCCGUAACUAUAACGGUCCUAAGGUAGCGAAAUUCCUUGUCGGGUAAGUUCCGACCUGCACGAAUGGCGUAAUGAUGGCCAGGCUGUCUCCACCCGAGACUCAGUGAAAUUGAACUCGCUGUGAAGAUGCAGUGUACCCGCGGCAAGACGGAAAGACCCCGUGAACCUUUACUAUAGCUUGACACUGAACACUGGUCCUUGAUGUGUAGGAUAGGUGGGAGGCUUUGAAGCGUGGACGCCAGUCUGCGUGGAGCCGACCUUGAAAUACCACCCUUUAAUGGCUGGUGUUCUAACGUAGACCCGUAAUCCGGGUUGCGGACAGUGUCUGGUGGGUAGUUUGACUGGGGCGGUCUCCUCCCAAAGAGUAACGGAGGAGCACGAAGGUUAGCUAAUCCUGGUCGGACAUCAGGAGGUUAGUGCAAUGGCAUAAGCUAGCUUGACUGCGAGAGUGACGGCUCGAGCAGGUGCGAAAGCAGGUCAUAGUGAUCCGGUGGUUCUGAAUGGAAGGGCCAUCGCUCAACGGAUAAAAGGUACUCCGGGGAUAACAGGCUGAUACCGCCCAAGAGUUCAUAUCGACGGCGGUGUUUGGCACCUCGAUGUCGGCUCAUCACAUCCUGGGGCUGAAGUAGGUCCCAAGGGUAUGGCUGUUCGCCAUUUAAAGUGGUACGCGAGCUGGGUUUAGAACGUCGUGAGACAGUUCGGUCCCUAUCUGCCGUGGGCGCUGGAGAAUUGAGGGGGGCUGCUCCUAGUACGAGAGGACCGGAGUGGACGCAUCACUGGUGUUCGGGUUGUCAUGCCAAUGGCACUGCCCGGUAGCUAAAUGCGGAAGAGAUAAGUGCUGAAAGCAUCUAAGCACGAAACUUGCCCCGAGAUGAGUUCUCCCUGAGACUAUAAGUCUCCUGAAGGAACGUUGAAGACGACGACGUUGAUAGGUCGGGUGUGUAAGCGCAGCGAUGCGUUGAGCUAACCGAUACUAAUGAACCGUGAGGCUUAACCU